UACGUAGGAGACUAGUGUUAUUCAUCUUAAAUAGGUUUAAAGGGUACUUAGACGGCAAAAUUCGCCAUAUAAAGGUACAAUUUUGCUAGAGUUUUAAUAUAAGAAGAUAGUACUUUUGAGUGUAGAGAUAAAAUUCUUUGAUACCUUGGGGACUGGUUAAGGCGAAGGCAAUCUUUUAUGUAAAACUGACGUUGAAGGACGAAGGCACCGGGCACGAACAGG
RNAcentral lists this ribosomal RNA (222 nucleotides) under uncultured bacterium. RNAcentral describes it as "partial 16S ribosomal RNA". It matches the Rfam family "Bacterial small subunit ribosomal RNA", at positions 524 to 776 of the family's 1533-position model. The record is from RNAcentral.